RNAcentral lists this ribosomal RNA (253 nucleotides) under uncultured bacterium. Its description in RNAcentral is "partial 16S ribosomal RNA". It matches the Rfam family "Bacterial small subunit ribosomal RNA", at positions 524 to 776 of the family's 1533-position model. The record is from RNAcentral.
UACGGGGGGGGCAAGCGUUGUUCGGAAUUACUGGGCGUAAAGGGCUCGUAGGCGGCCAACUAAGUCAGACGUGAAAUCCCCAGGCUCAACCUGGGAACUGCGUCUGAUACUGGAUGGCUUGAAUCCGGGAGAGGGAUGCAGAAUUCCAGGUGUAGCGGUGAAAUGCGUAGAUAUCUGGAGGUACACCGGUGGCGAAGGCGGUUGCCUGGAGCUUUGCUGACGCUGAGGCGCGAAAGCGUGGGGAGCGAUCCGG